This 247-nucleotide ribosomal RNA is filed under the name uncultured bacterium. RNAcentral describes it as "partial 16S ribosomal RNA". It matches the Rfam family "Bacterial small subunit ribosomal RNA", at positions 83 to 334 of the family's 1533-position model. The record is from RNAcentral.
UAUGGAUGGCGACCGGCGCACGGGUGAGUAACACGUAUCAACCUGCCGACAACACUGGGAUAGCCUUUCGAAAGAAAGAUUAUACCGGAUGGCAUAGUUUUCCCGCAUGGGAUAAUUAUUAAAGAAUUCGGUUGUCGAUGGGGAUGCGUUCCAUUAGGCAGUUGGCGGGGUAACGGCCCACCAAACCAACGAUGGAUAGGGGUUCUGAGAGGAAGGUCCCCCACAUUGGAACUGAGACACGGUCCAA